ACGGCUCAGUAACACGUGGACAACCUACCCAAAGGUCUGGGAUAACUCCGGGAAACUGGGGAUAAUACCGGAUAGGUCAAGAGUACUGGAAGGGUUUUUUGAUUGAAAGCUCUGGCGCCUUUGGAUGGGUCUGCGGCUGAUUAGGUUGACGCCGGUGUAAAGUACCGGCGUGGCGAUUAUCAGUACGGGUUGUGGGAGCAAGAGCCCGGAGAUGGAUUCUGAGACACGAAUCCAGGCCCUACGGGGCGCAGCAGGCGCGAAAACUCUACAAUGCAGGCAACUGCGAUAGGGGAACAUCGAGUGGCAUCUACAUUAGGUGUCUGUCCAGCUGUCUAAAAAACGGCUGUUAGCAAGGGCCGGGCAAGACCGGUGCCAGCCGCCGCGGUAAUACCGGCGGCUCGAGUGGUGGCCGAUAUUAUUGAGUCUAAAGGGUCCGUAGCCGGCUUUGCAAGUCUUGUGGGAAAUCCAGCGGCUUAACCGUUGGGCGUCUGCGGGAUACUACAUUGCUUGGGACUGGGAGAGGUAGGAGGUACUCAGGGGGUAGGAGUGAAAUCCUGUAAUCCUCUGGGGACCACCGGUGGCGAAGGCGUCCUACCAGAACAGGUCCGACGGUGAGGGACGAAAGCUAGGGGCACGAACCGGAUUAGAUACCCGGGUAGUCCUAGCCGUAAACGAUGCCCGCUAGGUGUCACGGCAGUCGUGAACUGCCGUGGUGCCGUAGGGAAGCCGUGAAGCGGGCCACUUGGGAAGUACGACCGCAAGGUUGAAACUUAAAGGAAUUGGCGGGGGAGCAC
This 794-nucleotide ribosomal RNA is filed under the name uncultured Methanosarcinaceae archaeon. Its description in RNAcentral is "bacterial SSU rRNA". It matches the Rfam family "Archaeal small subunit ribosomal RNA", at positions 85 to 879 of the family's 1478-position model. Lineage: Archaea; Methanobacteriati; Methanobacteriota; Methanomicrobia; Methanosarcinales; Methanosarcinaceae. The record is from RNAcentral.